This 301-nucleotide ribosomal RNA is filed under the name uncultured bacterium. Its description in RNAcentral is "partial 16S ribosomal RNA". It matches the Rfam family "Bacterial small subunit ribosomal RNA", at positions 509 to 807 of the family's 1533-position model. The record is from RNAcentral.
CAGCAGCCGCGGUAAUACGGAGGGGGCUAGCGUUGUUCGGAAUUACUGGGCGUAAAGCGCACGUAGGCGGCUGUGUAAGUCAGAGGUGAAAGCCCGGGGCUCAACCCCGGAAUAGCCUUUGAGACUGCAUAGCUUGAACACGGGAGAGGUGAGUGGAAUUCCGGGUGUAGAGGUGAAAUUCGUAGAUAUUCGGAAGAACACCAGUGGCGAAGGCGGCUCACUGGACCGUUGUUGACGCUGAGGUGCGAAAGCGUGGGGAGCAAACAGGAUUAGAUACCCCAGUAGUCCCUGUCUCUUAUAC